Tympanuchus pallidicinctus (lesser prairie-chicken) is the source of this 1396-nucleotide long non-coding RNA. RefSeq lists it as uncharacterized. Lineage: Eukaryota; Metazoa; Chordata; Aves; Galliformes; Phasianidae. The record is from RefSeq and is a predicted model, not a curated record. The transcript is spliced from 3 exons.
CAUCCACCCGCAUGUGGUGAGGGCUGUCCAGUGGGUUGAGGAGCCCUGGAACAGCACACAGGAAAGCAACAACUAAGGACAGAAGAUGGACUAUGGGAACAUAAAUUUGGAUUCUACAGCAUUGCAGUGCUUUCCAGUGAACACAGGCACAGGUUCAGAUGAGAAGCUGAAGGAACAGGUGCCAGUCCUUUAAAGCAUCUCCAUCAUCCCUGCAUCCCAGCUUCCAGCACAGGUAAAUGACCAUCUUUGCCGAGACGGCCCUGUGAUCCCCUGUGAUCCUGGUGUCAGGAGCACUUGCUUGGGGUACAGACAUUUCUUUCCCGAUCUCAGCUAAAAAAAAGACUGAAGGGACACAGACGAGACGCUUCCUGCAGACCAAAACAGCUCAUCCUUACUUGGCAUCUUCUCCAUGCUCGUCGAACACCACGAUCUCAUCCACGCAGAAGAUGGCACAUGCUCGAGCGAUCUGCCCGGCCAGCUUGAAAUGAAGAAUGAUGCAAGAACCACCUGCUGCAAUGCUGCUCCCGUUGUCCCACCAGCCCCGGCUCUCCUUCCCUGCUGCAUACACCCAUCAAGAGGCUGCAGUUCUGCUUUGCAGCCCAGGGGAUGCUGCCAGGCAUCGAGUAGGUGCAAUGUGUGGGUGCACAGGCAAGGCUGGCUGUAGCAAAGCUCCAUUUAAAGAACUAUUUCCUGAGGGCAGACAGUUGCUGAACCUAUGUUCACCUUCCCAAAGUCGAAGGGAAUAUUGCUAAUUUUUGGAAACAUCAGCUCUCUGGGUUUACAGCUUUCAGGACUGUGUGAAUCAGCUUGCUGAGGGAGCAGUGACCCCACACAGUCUCCUGAAGAAAGUGAGUGCUGCUGGGGAUGCUGCCCUGCAGUGCACCCAGCGUAGCCCUGCAGGUAGGUCCUGAAAUGCUUUUUCAGAAUUUGGUGGUGGAGAAGAUACCAGGAGCCAUCCUUACUCUUGUGUUUUGUUGAACACAUCUCAGAACUGAUGAGCAAAGUCUUUAAGCGUGAAGGAAAAAUGCCAAAUGGCGGCAGUGCAUAUGGAGGCUCACUGCUUGCAAUUGUUUCACAGUGAAAGCUGUGUCCCCCAGACCUGGGCCUGGCAGGCCUCAUAGCCACUUGUCUGACAGAAAAUGAGGUUGAAAGCACAAAAAUCAGGAUGUAGCAAAGUUUGUAGCCAAGUAAAGGAAGAGGAAGAAGUGCAGCCAUGGAGAGCCUGGUUCCCUCUGCAGUGUCUUCAGGGAGCAGUUUUCUCCAGUUUCCAUUUUUGCAGUAUGUCAUCUGCUGCCUUCAGUGUGGCAUCCUCCUAAAUAAACACCAGGGGUUCAGUUUGUGGGCUCCAGCCAGGUCUCCCCUCACUACAUUUGUUGUUUGUACAAAAAAACCCAAA